GAUCCAGACUCCUACGGGAGGCAGCAGUGGGGAAUAUUGCACAAUGGGGGAAACCCUGAUGCAGCGACGCCGCGUGAGUGAAGAAGUAUUUCGGUAUGUAAAGCUCUAUCAGCAGGGAAGAAAAUGACGGUACCUGAUUAAGAAGCCCCGGCUAACUACGUGCCAGCAGCCGCGGUAAUACGUAGGGGGCAAGCGUUAUCCGGAUUUACUGGGUGUAAAGGGAGCGUAGACGGCAGCGCAAGCCAGGAGUGAAAGCCCGGGGCCCAACCCCGGGACUGCUCUUGGAACUGCAUGGCUGGAGUACAGGAGGGGCAGGCGGAAUUCCUAGUGUAGCGGUGAAAUGCGUAGAUAUUAGGAGGAACACCGGUGGCGAAGGCGGCCUGCUGGACUGUGACUGACGUUGAGGCCCGAAGGCGUGGGGAGCAAACAGGAUUAGAUACCCCCGUACC
Molecule: ribosomal RNA, 449 nt
Filed under: uncultured bacterium
Lineage: Bacteria
Description: bacterial SSU rRNA
Rfam family: Bacterial small subunit ribosomal RNA
Source: RNAcentral